CGGGUGCACUGAUCCAGCCGGGCCUUUCCCUCUGUGGAACCCCAUGGCCUUCACUGGCUGUGGUGGGGAAACAGGACUUUUACUUUGAAAAAAUUAGAGUGCUCCAGGCAGGCCUAUGCUCGAAUACAUUAGCAUGGAAUAAUAGAAUAGGACGUGUGGUUCUAUUUUGUUGGUUUCUAGGACCGCCGUAAUGAUUAAUAGGGACAGUCGGGGGCAUCAGUAUUCAAUUGUCAGAGGUGAAAUUCUUGGAUCUAUUGAAGACUAACUACUGCGAAAGCAUUUGCCAAGGAUGUUUUCAUUGAUAAGGAACGAAAGUUAGGGGAUCGAAGACGAUCAGAUACCGUCGUAGUCUUAACUAUAAACUAUGCCGACUAGGGAUCGGACGAUGUUAUUCUUUGACGCGUUCGGCACCUUUCGAGAAAUCAAAGUGCUUGGGCUCCAGGGGGAGUAUGGUCGCAAGGCUGAAACUUAAAGAAAUUGACGGAAGGGCACCACCAGGGGUGGAACCUGCGGCUUAAUUUGACUCAACACGAGGAAACUCACCAGGUCCAGACACAGUGAGGAUUGACAGAUUGAGAGCUCUUUCUUGAUUCUGUGGGUGGUGGUGCAUGGGCCGUUCUUAGUUGGUGGAGUGAUUUGUCUGCUUAAUUGCGAUAACGAACGAGACCUUAACCUGCUAAAUAGCCCGUACUGCUUUGGCAGUUCGCCGGCUUCUUAGAGGGACUAUCGG
This 730-nucleotide ribosomal RNA is filed under the name uncultured eukaryote. RNAcentral's name for it is "SSU rRNA". It matches the Rfam family "Eukaryotic small subunit ribosomal RNA", at positions 670 to 1426 of the family's 1831-position model. The record is from RNAcentral.